Molecule: ribosomal RNA, 301 nt
Filed under: uncultured bacterium
Lineage: Bacteria
Description: partial 16S ribosomal RNA
Rfam family: Bacterial small subunit ribosomal RNA
Source: RNAcentral
CAGUAGCCGCGGUAAUACGGAGGGUGCAAGCGUUAUCCGGAUUCACUGGGUUUAAAGGGUGCGUAGGCGGGCAGGUAAGUCAGUGGUGAAAUCUUCGAGCUUAACUCGGAAACUGCCGUUGAUACUAUCUGUCUUGAAUAACGUUGAGGUGAGCGGAAUAUGUCAUGUAGCGGUGAAAUGCUUAGAUAUGACAUAGAACACCGAUUGCGAAGGCAGCUCACUAAACGCUCAUUGACGCUGAGGCACGGAAGCGUGGGGAUCAAACAGGAUUAGAUACCCGUGUAGUCCCUGUCUCUUAUAC